Molecule: ribosomal RNA, 372 nt
Filed under: uncultured organism
Description: partial 16S ribosomal RNA
Rfam family: Bacterial small subunit ribosomal RNA
Source: RNAcentral
GUAGGUGGCAAGCGUUGUCCGGAAUUAUUGGGCGUAAAGCGCGCGCAGGCGGUUCUUUAAGUCUGAUGUGAAAGCCCACGGGCUCAACCGUGGAGGGUCAUUGGAAACUGGAGAACUUGAGUACAGAAGAGGAAAGCGGAAUUCCACGUGUAGCGGUGAAAUGCGUAGAGAUGUGGAGGAACACCAGUGGCGAAGGCGGCUUUCUGGUCUGUAACUGACGCUGAGGCGCGAAAGCGUGGGGAGCAAACAGGAUUAGAUACCCUGGUAGUCCGCGCCGUAAACGAUGAGUGCUAAGUGUUAGGGGGUUUCCGCCCCUUAGUGCUGCAGCUAACGCAUUAAGCACUCCGCCUGGGGAGUACGGCCGCAAGGCUG